AUGGCCUCGCACCAGCACCCAGGGCCUCCCACAGCCCCACACCAGCACCCAGGGCCUUACACCAGCACCCAGGGCCUCAUACGGCCCCGUACCAGCACCCAGGGCCUCGUAUGGCCACGCACCAGCACCCAGGGCCCCACACCAGCACCCAGGGCCUCACACCAGUACCCAGGGCCUCAUACAGCCCCGUACCAGCACCCAGGGCCUCAUACGGCCCCGUACCAGCACCCAUGGACUCGUAUGGCCAUGCACCAGCACCCAGGGCCCCACACCAGCACCCAGGGCCUGACACCAGCACCCAGGGCCUCCCAUGGCCCCACACCAGCACCCAGGGCCUCACACCAGUACCCAGGGCCUCAUACAGCCCCGUACCAGCACCCAGGGCCUCAUACGGCCCCGUACCAGCACCCAUGGACUCAUAUGGCCAUGCACCAGCACCCAGGGCCCCACACCAGCACCCAGGGCCUCACACCAGCACCCAGGGCUUCGCACGGCCCUGCAGCAGCACCCAAGGCCUCACACCAGCACCCAGGGCCUCGCACGGCCUUGCACAAGCACACGCAGCCUCGUGGGGUUUGCACAAGCACGCGUGGCUUCGCACAGCCUCAUACUGGUGGGGUAUGUCCCCAUAGUGGUGCCGAUGGUGGUUCCAUACUGGGGGAGUGUGCCCCUGUACUGGUGCAGGGAGGCUCCGUACUGCGAUUGAUUCCCCAGUACUGGUGUGGGGACCCCCAUGCUGGGAUGGGUGCCCCCGUAUUGAUGGAGGAGGGUUCAUACUGGGAUGGGUGUUUCCAUAUUGGUGCACGGGGGUUCAUACUGGGACCAGUGUCCUCAUACUGGAUGUGUGCCCCUAUGCUUGCUGCUGGGGAGGGCUCAUACUGGGAUGGGUGUCCCCCGUACUGGUGCAGGGGGACUCUAUACUGGGGUUUGUGCCCCCAUACUGGUGUAGAGGGGCUCUGUACUGGGAUGCAUGGCCCCACACUGGUGCAGGGAAGCUCCAUAGUGGAACAGGUGCCCCUGUACUGGUGCAGGAGGGCUCCAUACUGGGAC
This 1050-nucleotide long non-coding RNA is filed under the name Anser cygnoides (Swan goose). RNAcentral describes it as "lncRNA (ENSACDG00005017299.1)". The record is from RNAcentral. Lineage: Eukaryota; Metazoa; Chordata; Aves; Anseriformes; Anatidae.